GAUGAACGCUGGCGGCGUGCCUAAUACAUGCAAGUCGAGCGAACAGACGCGGCGCUUGCUCCUUUGACGUUAGCCGCGGGCGUGUGAGUAACGCGUGGGUCACCUACCUGUAAGUCUGGGAUCACUUCGGGACACCGGAGCUAAUCCCGGAUAAUCUUUCGAACCGCAUGGUUCGAUAGUGAAAGAUGGCUUUGCUGUCACUUAUCGAUGCACCUGGGCCGUAUUAGCUAGUUGGUACGGUAACAGCUUACCAAGGCUACGAUACGUAAACGAACUGAGAGGGUGAUCGGCCACACUGGAACUGAGACACGGUCCAGACUCCUACGGGAGGCAGCAGUAGGGAAUCUUCGGCAAUGGGCGAAAGCAUGACGGAGUAACGCCGCGUGAGUGAUGAAGGCCUUCGGAUCGUAAAACGCGGUUAUGAGGGAAGAACAAACGUCUAAUGAAACGUGGCGGUCGUGACGGUACCUGAUCAGAAAGCACCGGCUAACUACGUG
RNAcentral lists this ribosomal RNA (497 nucleotides) under uncultured bacterium. RNAcentral describes it as "partial 16S ribosomal RNA". It matches the Rfam family "Bacterial small subunit ribosomal RNA", at positions 28 to 507 of the family's 1533-position model. The record is from RNAcentral.